GACGAACGCUGGCGGCGCGCCUAACACAUGCAAGUCGAACGAGCAAAGAGGAGCUUUGCUUCUCUGAGCGAGUGGCGAACGGGUGAGUAACGCGUGAGGAACCUGCCUCAAAGAGGGGGAACAACAGUUGGAAACGACUGCUAAUACCGCAUAAGCCCACGGGUCGGCAUCGACCAGAGGGAAAAGGAGCAAUCCGCUUUGAGAUGGCCUCGCGUCCGAUUAGCUAGUUGGUGAGGUAAUGGCCCACCAAGGCGACGAUCGGUAGCCGGACUGAGAGGUUGAACGGCCACAUUGGGACUGAGACACGGCCCAGACUCCUACGGGAGGCAGCAGUGGGGAAUAUUGCACAAUGGGGGAAACCCUGAUGCAGCGACGCCGCGUGGAGGAAGAAGGUCUUCGGAUUGUAAACUCCUGUUGUUGAGGAAGAUAAUGACGGUACUCAACAAGGAAGUGACGGCUAACUACGUGCCAGCAGCCGCGGUAAAACGUAGGUCACAAGCAUUGUCCGGAAUUACUGGGUGUAAAGGGAGCGCAGGCGGGAAGACAAGUUGGAAGUGAAAUCCAUGGGCUCAACCCAUGAACUGCUUUCAAAACUGUUUUUCUUGAGUAGUGCAGAGGUAGACGGAAUUCCCGGUGUAGCGGUGGAAUGCGUAGAUAUCGGGAGGAACACCAGUGGCGAAGGCGGCCUACUGGGCACCAACUGACGCUGAGGCUCGAAAGUGUGGGUAGCAAACAGGAUUAGAUACCCUGGUAGUCCACACCGUAAACGAUGAUUACUAGGUGUUGGAGGAUUGACCCCUUCAGUGCCGCAGUUAACACAAUAAGUAAUCCACCUGGGGAGUACGACCGCAAGGUUGAAACUCAAAGGAAUUGACGGGGGCCCGCACAAGCAGUGGAGUAUGUGGUUUAAUUCGACGCAACGCGAAGAACCUUACCAAGUCUUGACAUCCUGCGACGGACAUAGAAAUAUGUCUUUCCUUCGGGACGCAGAGACAGGUGGUGCAUGGUUGUCGUCAGCUCGUGUCGUGAGAUGUUGGGUUAAGUCCCGCAACGAGCGCAACCCUUAUGGUCAGUUACUACGCAAGAGGACUCUGGCCAGACUGCCGUUGACAAAACGGAGGAAGGUGGGGAUGACGUCAAAUCAUCAUGCCCUUUAUGACUUGGGCUACACACGUACUACAAUGGCGUUAAACAAAGAGAAGCAAGACCGCGAGGUGGAGCAAAACUCAGAAACAACGUCCCAGUUCGGACUGCAGGCUGCAACUCGCCUGCACGAAGUCGGAAUUGCUAGUAAUCGUGGAUCAGCAUGCCACGGUGAAUACGUUCCCGGGCCU
This 1334-nucleotide ribosomal RNA is filed under the name uncultured bacterium. Its description in RNAcentral is "bacterial SSU rRNA". It matches the Rfam family "Bacterial small subunit ribosomal RNA", at positions 28 to 1381 of the family's 1533-position model. The record is from RNAcentral.